GAGAGACAAGAUUGCGAGAGAGGGAGACCGACGACUAGUGGAAGUAGACGACGACGAGCGGAGGCGGAAAGGAUUGGUGGCUACUGGGUACUGGCUGCUGCUUUAAGUGUUAGGGUUUUAGACUUUCAGUUCUCUGUUCUCAGUCUCACUUUCUUUCUUUCUCUAGAAUGAGGAAUAGGUAAUUAGGAAUUAGAAUAUUAGAUAAUUAGUUUUGUGGUCGAGUGGAGACAGUACACUGUACAGAACAUACGGGGGUGGGGGUGUUUGUUUAAUUAUUUUUGUAAUUUGGUAUUUUUAUUAUACACUGAUACUUAUUUAUUUUUAAGGUUUUUAUUUUUUUAUAUUUAAUAUAUAUAAUUAUAUAAAUAAAAAUAAAUUUUAUAUAUAUAUAUUCUUANNNNNNNNNNNNNNNNNNNNNNNNNNNNNNNNNNNNNNNNNNNNNNNNNNNNNNNNNNNNNNNNNNNNNNNNNNNNNNNNNNNNNNNNNNNNNNNNNNNNNNNNNNNNNNNNNNNNNNNNNNNNNNNNNNNNNNNNNNNNNNNNNNNNNNNNNNNNNNNNNNNNNNNNNNNNNNNNCGUUAAUAAAAAAAAAAAUUAAUCUGUUCCCCGUCUGUUAAGCCGUUAAGCCAUUACCACUAAGCCAUUAAGCUUCGGUUUUGGAUCGAUUUUCGGUUUCGGAUCGGUUUUCAACACCCCUACUAUGAUCUAAUGACUAGAUGUUGGUAAGUUGAGACUUAUUUGGGAUAUUUAUGUAAGUUUUCCUAUAAAAAUGUGCCCAAGCCCAGGCAACAUUCAAGUCCUUGUCUUAGUGGUUGAACCUCACUAGUUGUCUAGAGCCCCGGUUGAAGCCCAUUACUAGAAUUUGAUGCAUUGAAAGAAGAGGAAUUUUCAAAAAUGACUAUUGUUUAUUGGUUAUUAACUCGCUAUAGCUACCAUUUACUUAGUUACUUAUUAUAGCUAUAUUUUCACUAGUUAUAGAGUGUAUUCUAUAUAUUCAAGAAUACAGUAGCAAAACUCGGCGAAAAACAAGAAAGUAUAGCUAAACAUUGAUUGUAUUCAUAUGUAUUCGAGAGUUGUAUUCGGUAAUACAGUAACGGAAAUCUGCGGAUAGAAAUGUCUUCAGUUGCAUAAAAAUGGUAAGUGAAUCAAUUAACGCGAUAGACUCCUAGUAUAACUCAACAAACUCAAUUAUAACACGCAAAAUUUGUAUUUUCACUUAUAGAAAAGAUUCCCAGCCGAAAAAUAUCACAAAAACAGAUCUUCAGAGAAUCAAUCUAUCCUUUCUUUUUUUAGUGGUAUCUUUACUAAAGUAUUUUUAUUAGUGGUAUCUUUACUAAUAUAUUUUUUUUACUAAACAUCGUGCCAAAGGUAUUUCAAUUGACGAUGACGCCCAAGGAAUUAGCGGAUGUUAAGGCCAAAUUCGACCUUCUAAAUCUUGUCAAAUUGAUCCCGGCAUGUGGGGACAUGUUAUAGGUUCAUCGCCUCAAAUACUACACUUUAUACGAUUAUCCUAUUCUCAUUGGUUAUUCAUUCCCCCUCCUUAUGUUCUUGGAGGAAUUAUGUCUCCAUUUUGGCGUCGGCCCUACUCAACUUGCGCCAUAUGUCUACGAAUUUAUAAGGAUUCACAAAUUUGCUGAGAUGGUCGGGGUUGAGAAGACAUUGCAUUAUUUGGUUCAUCUCUUCGCCCCUAGCUUUUAUAGGGGACAAUGUGGAAUCUUACCAACCAUGGAGGGAAAUGUUUGGUGGUGAAGACGGAGAUAAGGCCAAUCGUCAAUUUUGGCUCAAUCGUUUCUAUGUUAGGACUGAGGAUGUGGUGGCUAAUGCUGAUGGCUUUCUAGAGUCUUGGAAUUACACACGUAAGUGCUCAUUUCCUUUCACUCUUAUCUAUUUUUUUUAUCCGCGUUCUUUUACUUACUUGGAUUUAGUUGAAAGAUUUUUUCUUUCGUUGUAGCCAACACUCACCCUCCCCUUCUAGUCACACACAUCUCUGACUAUGUCAAACAAAUUGUCCCCCACAUCGUCGGGAUCUUUGAUGGUCUGAGCUUCAACAAGAAGUUCAUAUCGGCCCUCCCUUCGAUGUGCAACAUUCUUGAUUGGUCUGCGGUCGUCUCAUUUUUUUAUUAUACACCGACUCAUUUUUCUAAAUUCGAUGCUUAUUUCUUUCUCAGGUAAGGGGUCUUCUAGAUAGAGCCGGGCACCAGUGCCAUUCUUUCGGAUAAAAGAUGAUGCCCCUUCGAUUUCUGUCCCUGUGGUAAUUACUGCCGCUUAUGCGCUGACCCUUUAUUCGACCACCUUAGUCCACGAACAUGCCUCGUAAGAGGAGAGAUAUGGAUUCGGGAGGAGAAAAGCUAGUAGCCGUCGACUUCGAAGAAUGUGACUUUGUUUUUCGGAAGACGACCACGAUGUAUGUUGGAGAGAACCACGAGGUGGGUUCUGAGGUCCUGCACUUCAAUAAGAUGAAUACGAAUGCAUCACUGCAUGCAGUGGGUAGACGAUCCAAAUCAGGAUGCACAAUGAUGACCUUGCACUUUCGAGGCAAGAGGAGGCCUUCACUUGUAGUGUCACAAUAGAUGUUCGCUCUGUGGCUUGUGAUGGAGAGGAGGCCGUUACUGAGGAAGAUGUUGGAUCUAACUCCGACAUGGACAUGGACGAGUUGUGGAUGACCGAUGAGGGACUCACUAGACUCUAACUUAGAUUGGAAGGAGGCUUUAGGACUAUUGUGAUCCCGAUAGAUCGUAAUCUUCUUCUAGAUACUAAGGGCACAAUCAUUUCCCUCAGCCCUUUUUGUUAUAUGAUUAAGGGUACGACCCUUGAGGGGAUAAGCGACAGUACUAUGCCAAAUAACAUUGCUGGUCUUGCUCUUUGGGUAAUUUCUACUAUUCUUCUAUUCUAUAAUGACCCGGCCAGUCGUUUUAAAAAUUUACGCCCUGAUCCCCUAUUAACUGCUUUCCCCAUGUUUGUUUCUACUAGUUUGAUUUGCCGAGAUGUUUAGUUUUGAGUUUCGAAGUGUUUUGGAGCACUUAGUCCCAAAAUAUGAGUAUAAGCAUUAGAAUUUGGACCGUAGUCGGAGCAGUGUAAAGAAGGCUUUGGAAUGGAAUUAUGUCAGUUCUGUUAGCUCCAUUGGGUGAUUACGGGCUUAGGGGCGUGUUCGGAUUGUAUUUUGGAGGUUCGUAGCUUAUUUAGGCUUUAAAUGCCAAAAGUUGAAAUUUUGAAGUUUCCGGUUCGAUAGUGAGAUUUUGAUAUAGUGGUCGGAAUAGGAUUCUGAAAGUUGGACUAGCUCCAUAGUGUUGAAUGUGACGUGGUGGCAAAAAUUCAGGUCAUUCGGAUGAGGUUUGACAGACGUUUUGAUAGAAAGCGUAAAUUGAGAGUUCUUGGAGUUCUUAGGCUUCAAUCCGAUGUUAAAUUGGUGUUUGAUAUUUUUUUUAGUGUUCCAAAGAUUGGAACAAGUUAGAAUGAUAUUUUAAUAUUGGUUGGCAUUUUUGGGUGAGGUCCCCGGGCCUCAGGUGUGUUUCAUAUGCUCAACGGGUCAUUUUUGGACUUAGGAGUGCAGCAGAUUUGUUGGUUUUUUUAGUUGUAGGCCUUUGGCCAUUCACGAAGGGUUAGUCGCAUUCGUGAAGGCUAGAAAGGGGAAGUAUCGUGAAUGUGAAGAGCGGAGCACAUUCGCGAAGAGUAAUUUCUCUACGCAUUUGCGAGUAUUGGGUCACUUUCGCGAAGAUCCUGGAUCUAAAGCUACGCGUUUGGGAAAGUGGAAGUUGGCCAGUUAAAUUUUUUGCAUCACGUUCGCGAAGAAGAACGUGUUUGGGUAGAACUUAAAAAUCAAAAUUGAGGGUUUUGAGUUCUUAUCACAAAAUUGAAUUGGGAGCUCGGUAUGAGAAGAAUAUUGCUCAGUAGGAGAAGAUUUUUGGAGAGAUUUUCGGAGCGGGGUAAUGAUUCUUAUCUCCUUUUUUCUUAUAAUCCAUUAAUCUAAACAUUAAUUCAUCAUCUAAUUUCGGAUUUGGGAUGAGAAAUUGGGAAAAUUUUGGAAGCUAUAUUUCGAGUUUGAUUGGGAAUUUGACAUUGGAUUUGGAUAAUUGUGGUAUGGUUAGACUCGUGAGAGUAUGAGGUUUCUAAAAAUGUAACUUUUACCCGAUUAUGAGAUGUGGGAUUGGAGGGCAUUUUGGUCAUUUUACCUAAUUUAGCGUAUACGCAUAGAGUUUAUUUGUAAAAUCAGUUACUUGAAGUUUUAUAUACAUUAUGCCAACUGAGUUGAAUAGAUUUGGGCCAUUUGGAGUCGAGUACUCGUGGAAAGAACGUGGUUUCAGGUUGAUUUUGAGACGGUUUGAGGUAAGUAGCUUGCCUAACCUUGUGUGGGAGAACUCCCUUUAGGAUUUGGUAUUAUUGAUAUUUGAAAUGCCUUGUAGGUGAGGUGAAGAGUACGUACUUGUGCUAAUUAUUGAAAUUCGAUUUUUAUUAGGUAACUACCAUAUAUCGUGUUUCCUUUCUUCUUUAUACUACUUGUGAUUUGAGCAUGUUGUUAGUUUGGGGAAGCAUGUCUAAUUGACUUUAUUGCAUUAAUUGCUCAAACUGCCUUAUUUGUAUUAUGUGCAGUAUGCCAGGCUAGAAAUACCUGUUUUACCUUGGCAUAGAAUUUGAGUUGAAUUAUGUGUUCUUUGUGUCGUUGUUGUGUGUUUACUUUGGGACUACGAGAUAGUAUCCUGGGAGAUUCUCCUAUAUGUUUAAUUUGGAACUACGGAUUUUUAUACCAGGAGAUCCGCCUGCACUUUUACAUUGGAACUAUGGGACUGCAGCUGGUAGAUUCUCCCGGUACUAGGUAUUUGCAUUUGGGACUAUGAGCACGUAAUUUUUGCCCUAUACGAAUUAUUCCCAAAAAUUCAAAUAAAAUGAUCUAUUUCAUUAUUUUAAUAUUUUGUGAAUUUUUGUAUUAUUUGUCAAUUGUUUGCAUUUUAUUUGUGCAUUUUUAGUGAAAAAUACAAAAAUACUUGGCAUUUGCAUUUAGGAUUUUCAUUUCAUAUUUUAUGAUUAAUUAGUAGUUAAGGGAAAAAUAAAAAAAAAUAACAAAAAUGAUCUUUUUGCAUUUUAAGUUUUAAUUUUUCUUAAUUUGGAUUUAGUUAUGAAUUAAGGUAAUUGAAAAUUAAAUGAUAGAAUUUUAGAGUUAAUUUGGUUGUUGAAUUUUAAUUUGUCAUUUUAACAAAUCUAAAUAAAUAAAUAAAUAAAUAAAGUAAAUAAAAAUGAGAAAACAAAAGAAAAUAAAUUAGAAAAAAGAUGUCUUAAUAAGAAGACCAAAAUUGGGCCAUCUGUGCUCAUUUAUACCUAGCCAAACCAAUUAAAACCCACCCCCAUCCAACCCAGAUCCCCAACCCGGUCCGCCUCAGUAGUAAACAAAAUGAUGCCGUAUGGCGUCGAUCAAUCCAGGUCGUCGAGGUACUGGGAUAAAAUCGCCGAGAAUCUCCCUCCCAAUGAAUAUAACUGCCCGAGAAUCAACCCACCACCUUUCAGACCCCCCGAAUCGUCUCUAACUCAAACCCUAAAUAAUCAGCAACCUCUGUAAUGCCACCAACGCCGCCUCCGGCGAAUACACAACAAUCAACGUUGACUACCAAAAUAACACCCCUAUAUAGCAUAAUGUCCUCAUCACAAAUCCCAUAUUAUCUUCUUUCGAACUAUCAGAAGCCUUCAAAUAAUCAAAUUGGUGUUGUCGUCUCCACUGCCCACGGUGGCGACACCGCCCAAACAGCCCCAAAUUUACACCACCAUACCUCCUCACUCUUCGCUCCCCAAAUCCACCCUUAAUAUGCUUCGAAUCAGUACCAAACCUCUCAAAUACCGGAUCGAAAAUCUGGUCAAACUGUUGUAAUGCCCUAAGUCUUCAAAGGGCCCCAAAUUCACACAUCGAGCCCUCUCAAAACCUCCACAUGAUGAAUUUCAAGUAUGAAUCCCUCAAACCCAUGUAGAAUCCCACGAGCCUUAACCCUAGGGUCUGAAGAACCUUAUUUCAUGUAGUCGUUCAAGCUGGUUUAAUUAGUGAGUGUCUCUUCUCAUUUAUUUUUAUUUUUCUUUAGUUUUGGAUUUAUUAGAUGAUUCGUGCUUUCACUGAUAAACAAAAAUUGUUUAAAGUCUGCAGAAUAUUAAUUGAUAGUCUAGUUUAAUUUCAUUCUAAUUCUGCCUGUUAUUGUUAGCUAAAUGCCUAGGUAUAAUGUGAGGUAGUAAUUGCUUAGUUUAAUUCUUAGAUUAAUUUUCAUUUUUAUUUAAUUCUAAGUUGAUUUUCGUUCUAUUGGAGUAUAUGUUCAAUCGCUAGUUAGUUCAAUCAAUCAGUUGUUAGUUUAAUUGGGUUUGAUUCAGUUUGAUGUACCUGUUUUCCUUUUGAUAACAAUGUGGUCAUUUGGUGGAAAUUUGAUUAGGAUUCUUUGUUUUUGUAAUAAUUGAUUUUGCAUGUUAAGUUAGUAGUUUAGUAGUAAUUGAGUAAUUAGUAUUUGUUCUAUGAGUUCAAUAUUUGAUUAAAUAGUUAUUCGAAUUAUGUUAGCUAAUUUGAUUACAGCUAGGUAAAUUAAAUUUUCAAUUAGUCAUGGAUUGGGUUUAGUUAAUGUUAAUAAUUUCAGGGAAUCUUCAGGGGCACUUUGGGCACCUAAAAUGGUUAGUUUGUUAAGACAUGGAUUUUAGAACUCAAGUAAGGGUACUAUAGGCAUUCCGUAAGUAGGCAAACAAAUUUAGAACAUAUAUCUCCUACUCUAUACAAAACUCUGUCCAAAAACUAUGAUUACCUCUAUGAAGUAGAUAUCCUACCCGAUGAACAAAAAGUAUCCUCCACUGAACUACCCUUUAUAAACCCCUACUCAGCUUUUGCCAAAAAAUCCUUUGCACCCUAGACCCAAAUCCGUUCCUUGGUCCAACUCAGACCAAAAGGAUUCAAAGAAUAUGUUGCUCAGCAACUCUGAAGAUAGACUGAGAGCAGUUAAUUUGUUUAUAGACGUAUUCCUUCUAGAAGGGGUCUUAGUGAAAGUUUCAGCUUUUUAAAAGCCGUAACUUGAGAAACAAGUCAAUACUUUAGGUUUAAGGUGAAAUUUCUAAAAAUAAAAAGUGGGGAAAAUAAGGAAACACUUCCAGAACAUUCUGCCCCCUUCCUUACCUAUAAAAGGCAGCCCUAGUACCUUGAUUAAGGAGUUUGAACCCCAAAAAUUCCCCCAAAACCCUUGGCUGCAGAUCUGAAUCUCAGAUUUGAAUUUCCGAUUCUAAUUAAGUCUAGUAUCUCAAAAACAAAACAAAAAUAGAAAAAUCUUCAAAAAAAUCGAAAAAUCAAACUAUUCCAUUGGUUUGUGUUUUAGUUUCAAGUUUAGUUGUUAGUUUGGAUUCUCUCAUUUCCGUGUUUGGUAGCUGAAAGUCAGAAACUACUUUGAAUUGGCUUAUCAAUUCAUAUUGGUAUUUAAUUGGAUUAGUGGAUGUUUGUUUCUGAUUGUUGGUUGUAUUCUGGGUUUAGUUUUGAGUUAAAUUGGUUUAUUCAAGCUGUGUGGGAGAUUUAUGGUUAUCUAUUUGGUUUCAAGCUAUUCCUGGAUUGAUGGAAUUAGAUUGGGGGUUAUUGUUGAUUUGUGCCCAUUACUGCUGCUGUGGAUUGACAAAAUACCAGUUAACUGUUCGUUGCUGAUCUCCCCAUCUUUUGUUGUAACUUCAUCCUCAGGUACACAGCUUUGACCUUGAUGAUUGUAAACUGAAGAAUGAAUCUAUGUGACAAUCGAAGCAUGAAAUUUGAUUUAGUUUCAAUUUCAUACUUGUGUAUUCGAGCACUCGUUCGUUAAUGUUAUUCAGACCUUUGAUUUUUAUUAUAUGCAUUGGACUAUAAUUGAAUGAUUUGGACUGUUAUUUGAACUUUCAAAUUUGUAGUAAUAGAUCAAACUCUAUAAUUGUAUAGUCAUAGAGAUUUGAAGAGUUUGAAGUAUUUUACAAAUUGUAUUCAGUGUACUAUGAGCUAUAUUUGUAAACUCCCUAUCAGUGUAUUUAUUAACUUGAGAACUUUUUGAAGGCCAGUUAAAAUGAGCAUUAAUGUGUGAGUUGUAGUUAACUUAGUUAGUUUGUUAGUUUAGACAUUCAAAACUGAAGAUAACUUGAACUGGAAAUUGGCUUAGGAAUUUGAUGUGCACUUUUGUUGAUGACUGAGUAUUCAAAAUGUUAGGAGUAAAUAAUUUUGCAUGUCAUUUGAUAAAGUAAGUUCAUAAUAAAUUAUAGUUUUGAAGUAAUAGCUAGUCAGUGAUUAAUUCCUGAAUUUAAGAUGGCAUGAGUAGCUUGCAGUAGUGCAUGAUUUUUAAUUCUAACGCUGUCUAAGUUUGAUUUGGGAAUCGACGUUGUUUAAAUACUUCAGACUAAUCAACGUUGAUUAUAAUUGAACUUAAAUCAGAAAGGCAUGAUCUUCAUAGGCACAAAUUAUCACUGAUCUUGUAGACACAAUUAACAAAAAUUCAUUUGUGAGGAACCAAUAAGCUCACCUGAAAUGCGUGUACUUUUGUUGAUUGUGUAUUUGACUCCAAAGAUGCUAGCUCAGCCUGAAAUUAGAUUGGGCCUGCAUUUGAAUGUAUGUAACAUUGUGAAUAAGCUUGGACGUUGCCUAUUAAUGUGGUUAAGUUCAGACACUUUUUAAGUUGGAGCUUAAGGUUUUGAGUCCUUCAAUUAAUUAGGGUCUUUUCUUUAAUUUUUUGAGACAAAAAAAAUAGAAAAUCAUAGUCACUUUAGGAUUUCCCUUUAAAUAAAAUGAGAUGAGCCUCACCAGAUAAAAAGUGCAAAAUUGCGGGGUUCAAAAAUAUAUAUAAAAUAAUACUUAGAAUUAGGGAUGGGCCAUUUAGCAAAUUUUAUGGCCCUCCUCAAAGAUAAUAAAGCGUUAGUCACUUUAAGCGCAUUUUUAAUAAUUUACUUUCUUAAACUCAGGUGCGCAUUUAUGUGACCCUAAUCCAAAUCUCAAUGGAGUCGAAAUGUAUCAACAACCACGUGUGCAUUGAUAUGACGUGGUUCGAGAUGCGUUUUCACGACGUUGCAAGUCUCGUUAAAAAUAAUAAUGAUAAAAGUGUUUCAAAACUGAAAAGCACAUAAGCUAAAACAUAUUUUGAAAUCAGAUAAAUCCAAAUAUAACAGUUGAGUGACCGUGCUAGAACCACGGAACCUGGGAAUGCCUAACACCUUCUCCCAGGUUAACAGAAUUCCUUACUCGGAUUUCUGGUUUGCGGUCUGUUAACAGAGUCAUAUUUUCCUCGGUUCGGGAUUCAACCGGUGACUUGGGACACCAUUAAUCUCCAAGUGGCGACACUGAACUUUAAUAAUUAAAUUCUGUUCCGAUUGUCCUUUAAGUGGAAAAACUAUUUUACACCCUUGCGGGUGUAGUGAAAAAGGAGGUGUGACAGCUCUGGCGACUCUGCUGGGGAUCAAACCCAGAACUUCGGGAUUCCGGUAGAUCCACGCGCACUAUGAGUUGGACUAGGAGAUGGUAUCCCAGGAGGUACACUAGAUAAUUAUAUUUGGGACUACAUGAUGGUAUCCUGGGAGAUCCUCGGUUGUUAUCUCUGAGUUGAAUUAUACUCUUUUCUAUGAUUAUUUUGUCUCUAUUAUAGUUCUUGUUGUUCCUUCUAUUCUAUGUUAUUUAUUACUGUUGCACUCAUUCUAUAAAGUUAUACCUUAUAUUUCAUUUAUUCUCAGUAGGGCCCUGAAAAUCCUCGUCACUACCUGAUCAAGGUUAGGCACGACACUUAAUGAGUACCAUUGUGGUGUACUCAUGCCUUUUCUGCACAUGUUUUUCAUGUGCAUAUCCAGGUACUUCCACUCAGCCUUAUCAUACUUGAGCAAGGCUCUUUUGUAGAUACUUCGAGGUAUAUCAGCCAGUCCGCAGACCGAGGAGUCCAUUUCUAUCCUCGGUACUAGUAUAGCCAUUCUGUAUUAUCCUUGUUGAUAGACAUUUCUGGAGUUAGAGUUUUUUAUGUAAACUCUUAGCUUGUGAUUCAUGGAGUUCUGUAUUUUGGGAGUGUUAGGUUGAUAUUUUUUUACUGUUAUAUGCCAGGCGACAUCAUAAACAUUGUUUCAUUUUAUUAUCUUAGUUUUUAAUUAUUUACUUUCCGCAACUAUUUCUUUCCACAUUUGUUAGGCUUACCUAGUCGUAGAGACUAUCACGAUAGUUUACAGGGGGCGACUUGGGGUGGUCAGAAAUUGGUAUUAGGGCUCGAGGCUCAUAUGAGUCAUGUAUCUCAAGCCAAUUAUUUAGAGUCUCGCGGAUCGGUACGACAACGUUUGUACUUAUCUAUGAGAGGCUAUGCAACUUUUAGGAAAAAUUCCAUUUCGUUUGAUUUUAUUAUCAUGCUAGAUUUUUGAUAUCACAAUUCUAAUUUUCUGUCUUCUAUUCUCUCAUAGAUGGUGAGGACACAUGCAACCCAAGAUGAUCAGGAACCCGUGCCCACUACUGUAGCCGUCAGAGGUCGGGGCAGGGUAGAGGUCGAGGACGCGCACGUGGUGCAGCCAGAGCUCCUGCACGAGCUGCUGCCGAGGAGCCAACAGCAGUUUCCAGCCAGAUCCCAGGCACCUGAUAUGCCUACUUCUACUAGUACUCCAACACUUUAGGAGACUCUAUCAUUGUUCAUGAGUUUGUACACCAUUUUGGCUUAGGCAGGAUUACUUCCCCUUGAUGUAGCAAAAUCCCAGGUCGGGGGAGGAACACAGACUCUGCCUCCUACACUCCUGAGCAGUGAGUGCAUGUAGAUCACUCCUAGAGAUUAUUCUGGAACAACAUGCAUCCCCAGAUCAGCCCGAGGACAAGGCAUCACUCUUCGAGGAUGAGUAGAUGUGGGUUGAGAGGUUCAAGAAGCACAAGCCUCCUGUAUUCAGUGGUCUAGCAUCAGAUGAUGCUCUAGGAUUUCUAGAUGAGUGCUACCGUAUUCUCUGUACCAUGGGUAUAUUAGGAAUAAGCGGGAUUUCCUUCACCGCUUUCCAGCUUCGAGGAGCUACCUAUGAGUGGUGGCAUAUUUAUGAGUUAGACAGUCCCGAUAAGGAAGCUUCUCUGACUUGGACUCAGUUUUCAGAUGUGUUCCUAAGAGAGUAUGUUCCUCAUAGCCUCAGGGACGUAUCAUGUCCAAAGUUUGAGCAUAUACACCAGGGUGCUAUGAUUGUCUCGCAGUAUGCUAUUCAUUACAUCAGCUUGGCUAGACACGAACCAGCUUUGGUUUCUACUAUUCGCGGGAGGGUUCACCGAUUUAAUUGAGGGGUUUAUUCCCAACAUCAGGUCUAUCCUGACUCGUGAGUUCGAUCUGAAUAUUUCUUAUCAGUAGGUGGUAAGCAUUGCUUGGAGGAUCAAGCGUAUGCAUGCUAGGGAUAGAAAGGAGAGAGAGGCCGAGAAGUCUCAAGAGUACCAUUUUUCUGGUGCUCGUGCCCCAGCUGUAGGUUAUCAUGGUAGGUGUUACAUAAAUUACCCUUUUCAUUCAGCUCUCACAGCAGCCAUUGGUAUCCUAGCUUCUCCUAGGCCUUAGGAACCUUAUUAUGCACCUCUAGUAUCUAGUGUGCCUCCUGCACGGGGUGCUUUUAGUGGUCAGUCCAACAGAUCUAUCCCGAGCAAGUCAUAGGCGCCACGUCCUCCUAGAGAAUGUUUUGAAAAUGAUGGUACAUUUCAUAUGGUGCGAGAUUGCCCCAAACUUAGGAGGGGGAGAAACUCUAUUAACUUCUUAGCCACAGCGUGCCUCGCGCAGUUCUCAGGCUUUGGUUACAGCUCCAGUUGCUAACCCACCAGCUCAGCCAGCUAGAGGUGGAGGUCGAGGAGGUAGGAGUCGCCCUAGAAGGGGAGGCCAGGCGAGAUAUUAUGCCCUUCCUGGUCGUACCGAGGUUGUUGCCUCUGAUUCAAUAGUCACAAGUAUGGCCUUGGUUUGUCAUAGAGAUGGAUCAGUUCUAAUCGAUCCAGGCUCCACUUAUUGAUAUGUGUCUUCUUAUUUUGCUUCGCAAUUGGGUGUAUCUCAGGAUUCUUUGAGUUCCCUUGUUUAUGUUUAUACUCCUGUAGGAGAUUCUCUUGUUGUGGACCAGAGCCGAUUUAUUGUUGCUUAGCAUGGUAGAUUUUAAUAUUAUCUUGGGCAUGGACUGAUUCUCUCCCCAUUAUGAUAUUCUUGAUUUUAAUUCCAAUACCAUGAUGCUGGCUAUGCCAGGUGUACCACGUGUUAAGCGUAGGGGUGCUUUAGAUCACACUCCUAGUAGAGUUAUUUCUUUUCUUAAGGCUCAGCAAAUGGUUGAGAAGGGGUGUGACGCAUAUCUAGCUUAUGUGAGAGAUGUCAGUAUUGAUACCCUUACAGUUGAUUUAGUGCCAGUAGUACGGGAUUUUUCUGUGUGUUUCUAUCUGAUCUUCUGGGUGUGCCGCCUGAUAGAGAUAUUGAUUUUGGUAUUAACCUGUUGCUGGGUAGUCAGCCCAUUUCUAGUCCUCCAUAUCAUAUGGAUCCUUCUGACUUGAAUGAGUUAAAGGAUCAGUUACAGGAAUUGCUUGAUAAGGGUUUUAUUAGGCCUAGUGUAUCACUGUGGGGUGCUCUUGUCUUGUUUGUGAAGAAGAAGGAUGGUUCUAUGCAUAUGUGCAUUGAUUAUCGUUAGUUGAACAAAGUUACAAUGAACAAUCGUUAUCCUUUUCAUUGUAUUGAUGAUUUGUUUGAUCGGCUAUAGGGUGCACAAGUGGUUUCUAAGAUUUACUUGCGUGCAGGUUACCAUCAGUUAAAGAUUCGGGAGACUGAUAUCCUGAAGACUGCGUUCAGGACUCGUUAUGGUCAUUACAAGUUUCUUUUUAUGUCAUUUUAGUUUACCAAUGCCCUAGCAGCCUUUAUGUAUUUGAUGCACAGUGUGUUCCGACUAUAUCUUGACUCGUUCGUCAUUGUCUUUAUUGAUGAUAUUCUGGUGUAUUUCGGGAGUCGGGAAGAUCAUGAGCAGCACUUGAGGACAGUGAUCCAGACUUUGAGAGAGAAGAAAUUAUAUGCUAAGUUCUCAAAAUGUGAGUUUUGGUUGGAUUAUGUGGUAUUCUUGGUCACUUGGUUUCUAAUGAGGGGAUAAAAGUUGAUCCGAAUAAAUUGAAAGCAGUGCAGAGUUGUCCCAGACCAUCUACAGCUAUAGAGAUCUGCAAAUUUCUUGGCUUGGCGGGUUACUACCGUCGAUUUGUUGAGGGGUUUUCAUCUAUUACAGUGCCUAUGACCAGGCUGACCUAGAAGGGUGCUCUGUUCCAGUAUACGGAAGAGUGUGAGGCAAGCUUUCAAUAGCUCAAGACUGAUUUGACAACAACCUAGUUUUAAUAUUGCGUAGAGGUUCGGGGUCUUAUACUGUCUAUUGUGAUGCCUCGAGAAUUGGCCUUAGAGCGGUAUUGAUGCAAGAUGGUAGUGUGACUGCCUAUGCAUCCAACAAGUUAACAGUACAUGAGAUGAAUUAUCUUGUCCAUAAUCUCGAGUUAGCUGCUAUUUUUCACGCGUUGAAGAUCUAGCCCCAUUAUUUGUACGGUGUGCCUUGUGACAUUUAUACUGAUCACGGGAGUUUGCAGGAUUUGUUCAUGCAAAAUGACCUUAAUUUGCAUCAGCUAAUGUGGUUAGAGUUGUUGAAGGACUAUGAUAUCACUUUUUUAUCACCCGGUCAAGGCUAAUGUGGUGGCCGAUGCUUUGAGUCAUCGGGCAGAGAGUUUGGAAAGUUUGGCUUAUUUACCAACAGCGGAGAGGCCCAUGGUGAUGGAUGUUCAGGACUUAGCCAGCCAGUUUGUGAGAUAGGAUCUUUUGGAGCCCAGUCGGAUUCUAGCUUUCAUGGUUUCUCAAUCUUCAUUAUUUGAUCGUAUCAGGGAGCGUCAGUUUAAUGACUCUCAUUUGCUUGUCCUCCAGGACAAGUUUCAGCACAGUGAUGCCAAAGAUGUGACUAUUGGUGAUGAUGGGGUAUUGAGGAUGCUAGAUCGGAUUUGUGUAACAAAUGUCGAUGGGCUUUGGGAGUUGAUUAUAUAGGAGGCCCAUAGUUCACAGUAUUCCAUUCAUCUGGGUGCCGCGAAGAUGUACCAGAAUUUGAGGCAGCACUAUUGGUAGAGGCGAAUGAAGAAAGAUAUAGUUGGUUUUGUAGCUGGGUGCCUCAAUUGUCAGCAAGUGAAGUAAGAGCACCGGAGACCGUGCAAUAUACUUCAGCAGAUAGAGAUUCUAGAGUGGAAGUGGAAGUGGGAGCGGAUCACCAUAGACUUUGUAGUUGGGCUCCCACGAAAUUUGAGGAAGUUCAAUGCCAUUUGGGUAAUUGUGGAUCGGCCGACCAAGUCCGCGCAUUUUAUUCUUGUGUGUACUACCUAUUCUUCAGAGCGUCUAGCGGAGAUUUAUAUCUGGGAGAUUGUUCCUCUGCAUGGUAUUCCAGUUUCCAUCAUUUCAGAUAGAGAUACUCACAUCAAGGUUCUGGAGGGUCGUACAACAUGAGGUGGGUAUUUGAGUGGAGUUGAGUACAAUAUUUUACCCUCACAUAGAUGGGCAGUCGAGCGGACUAUUCAGAUUAUUGAGGAUGGCUCUGUGCAUGUGUGAUUGAGUUUGGAGUGUCUUAGGAUCAGUUCUUGCCCAAUUGCGGAGUUUUCCUACAACAAUAGCUAUCAGCCUAUCAUUCAGAUGGCACCGUAUAAGGUUUUAUAUUGUAAGCAGUGUAGAUCCCCGGUGGGUUGAUUUGAGCCGGAUGAGGCUAGAUUAUUGGGCACAAACUUGGUUUAGGAUGCAUUAGAGAGAAUAAGGUGAUUCAAGAUAGACUCCAUACAGCCAAGUCCAGACAGAAGAGUUACGCGGACCGGAAGGUUCGUGUUUCCAUAUGGUUGGGGAGCGGGUUCUGCUUCAGGUUUCUCCUAUGAAGGGCGUUAUGAGAUUUGGUAAGAAAGGGAACUUGAGUACGAGUUUUAAUGACCCUUUUGAGAUAUUGAGGUAUGUUGCGGAGGUUGCUUAUAAGUUUUCCUUACCUCCCAGAUUCGCAGGAUUCCAUCCGGUAUUUCAUGUCUCAAUCCUCCAAAAGUAUCAUGGUGAUCCGUCGCACGUUUUGGAUUUUAGUUUAGUCUAGUUGGACAAGUAUCUAUCUUAUGGUGAAGAGACAGUGGCCACGUUGUACAGGCAUGUUCUAAAGCUAAGGUCAAAGAACAUUGCAUCAGUGAAGGUUCAGUGGCGGGGUCAGCCGGUCAAGGAGGCAACCUGGGAGACCGAGAAGGAUAUGCGCAACCGUUACCCUUAUUAGGGAAACGAAUUUCUAACUGUAGGAGUACGUAACGACCCGUCCAGUCGUUUAAAGAAUUUAUGCCCCGAUCCUUAUUAGGGAAUUGGAGAUUCGUAGCUUAUUUAGGGUUGACAUGCCGAAAGUUGAAUUUUUGAAGUUUAUAAUUUGAAUGUGAGAUUUUAAUAUUAGUGUCGGAAUGGGAUUCUGGAAGUUGGGUUAGCUCUAAUGUUGAAUGUGACGUGCUUGCAAAAUUUUAGGUCAUUCGGACGAGGUUUGAUAGAUGUUUUGAUCGAAAGAGUAAAUUGAUUGUUCUUAGGCUUGAAUCAAAUGUUAAAUUGGUGUUUUGAUGUUUUUUUGAGCUUUCCAAAGAUUGUAACAAGUUUGAAUGAUAUUUUAUGAUUGGUUGACAUGUUUGGUUGAGGUCCCAUGUGCCUCAGGUGCUUUUCGGAUGCUCAACGUGUCAUUUUUGGACUUAGGUAUGCAGCAGAUUUGCUGGUUUUUCUGUUACAGACUUUUGGCCUUUGCAUUCGCGAAGGGUUGAUUACCUUCGUGAAGGCUGUCCAGGGGAAGUAUAGUGAAUGCAAGGAGCAGAGCGCAUGCACAAAAAGGAAAGACUGAGCAAUUAUGGACCCCAUGGAAUUUCUCUAUGCUUUCGCGAGCAUUGGGUCGCGUUCGCGAAGGUCCUGGAGCUAAAGCUACGCGUUCGCAGGUGGACCCUCGCGUUCGCGAAAGAGAAAGUUGGCCAGUAGGAGUUUUGUGCAUCGCGUUCGUGAUUGUAGUCUCCCGUUCGUGAAAAAGAACGUGUCUGGGUAGAACUUAAAUUUCAAAUCGAGGGUCUUGAGUUCAUAUCAUAAAAUUGAAUUGGGUGCUUUGUAGGAGGUGAAUUUUGGAGAGAUUUUUGGAGGGAGUUUGUGGGCAAUGAUUUGUAUCCCUUGUUUGCUUAUAAUCCUUUAAUCUAAAGAUGAAUUAAUCAUCUAAUUUUGGAUUUGGGUUGAGAAAUUGGGCGGGGNNNNNNNNNNNNNNNNNNNNNNNNNNNNNNNNNNNNNNNNNNNNNNNNNNNNNNNNNNNNNNNNNNNNNNNNNNNNNNNNNNNNNNNNNNNNNNNNNNNNNNNNNNNNNNNNNNNNNNNNNNNNNNNNNNNNNNNNNNNNNNNNNNNNNNNNNNNNNNNNNNNNNNNNNNNNNNNNNNNNNNNNNNNNNNNNNNNNNNNNNNNNNNNNNNNNNNNNNNNNNNNNNNNNNNNNNNNNNNNNNNNNNNNNNNNNNNNNNNNNNNNNNNNNNNNNNNNNNNNNNNNNNNNNNNNNNNNNNNNNNNNNNNNNNNNNNNNNNNNNNNNNNNNNNNNNNNNNNNNNNNNNNNNNNNNNNNNNNNNNNNNNNNNNNNNNNNNNNNNNNNNNNNNNNNNNNNNNNNNNNNNNNNNNNNNNNNNNNNNNNNNNNNNNNNNNNNNNNNNNNNNNNNNNNNNNNNNNNNNNNNNNNNNNNNNNNNNNNNNNNNNNNNNNNNNNNNNNNNNNNNNNNNNNNNNNNNNNNNNNNNNNNNNNNNNNNNNNGGGGGGGGAAUUUGAAAAAGUUCAUAGACAUAAAUUUCAAGUUUUGAUUAGGAAUUAGACAUUGGAUUUGGAUAAUUUUUGUAUGGAUAGACUCGUGAGAGUAUGAGGAUUCUGAAAAUGUAAAUUAUAACUGAUUCUGAUAUGUGGGACUGGGGGUAUUUUUGUAAUUUUAUCUGAUUUCCCGUAUCAACAUAGAAUUUAUUUGUAGAAUUAGUUACUUGAAGUUAUAUUUAUAUUAUGCAAUUGAAUUAAAUAGAUUCGGUCCAUUUGGAGUCGAGUACUCGUGGAAAGAACGUGGUUUUGUGUUAAUUUUGUAUCGGUUUGAGGUAAGUGGCUUGCCUAACCUUGUGUGGGGUAAUUCCACUUAGGAUUUGGUAUUAUUGAUAUUUGAAAUUCCUUGUAGGGUGAGGUGAUGAGUACGUACUUGUGCUAAUUGUUGAAAAUCCGAUUUUUAUUAAGCAAUUAUCAUCGUGUUUUCUUUCCUAUUUAUACUACUCGUGAUUCAAUACAAUUGUUAGUUUGGGAAAGCAUGUCUAAUUUACUUAAUUGCUUUUAUUGCUCAAACUACCUAAUUUGGAUUAUGUGCAUUAUGCUAGGCUAGAAAUACUAGUUUUACCUUGGCAUAGACUUUUAGUUGAAUUAUGUGUUCUUCGUGUUGUUGCUGUGUGCUUACUUUGGGACUACGGAUUUAGAUUGCGGGAGAUCCCCCUGCACCUUUACAUUGAAACUACGGGACUGCACCCACUAGAUUCUCCCAGUACUGAGUAUUCAUAUUUGGGACUACGGAUCAGAAUUCUGGUAGAUACCCGCGCAUUAGUUGGACAAUGGGACGGUAUCCCGUAAGGUCCACUAGAUAAUUCUAUUUCGGACUACAGGACAAUAUCCUGGGAGAUCCCUAGUUAUUAUCUCUGAGUGGAGUUGUACUCCUUUCCAUGGUUAUUUUAUCUCUGUUAUAGAUAUUGUUGUUCCUUCUAUUCUGUGUUAUUUAUUACGGUUACACUUAAUGACAUUGUCUCAUUCUAUACUGUUAUACCUUAUAUUUCAUUUAAUAUCAAUAGGGCUCUGAAUUUCCUCGGCCCUACUCGAUCGAGCUUAUGCUUGGCACUUACUGAGUACCAUUGUGGUGUACUCAUGCCCUUUCUUCGCAUGUUUUUCAUGUUCAGAUCUAGGUACUUCCACUCAGUCUUAUUGUCACACCUCCUUUUUCCUUCACCCCCGAAAGGUAUAAGGGACUUUUUAAUUAAAGGACAAUCAAAACAGUAUUAUUAUUUAUGAAUCAAAGCCACCACUUGGGAUAAUUUGAUGGUGUCCCAAAUCAUCGGUUCAAAUCCCGACUCGAGGAAAAGGUUGACUCUGUUUUACAGUCCACAAAUACAGAAAUCCUGGUAAGGAUUCUACUAACAUGGAAGAAGGUGUUAGGCGUUCCCAAGUUUUAUGGUUCUAGCAUGGUCGCUCAACUGUUAUUAUUAUCCUAAUUAUCUUAUUAUAAAAUACUUUAAAACCUAUGUGCAUUUUAGCUUUAAAUCGCUUUAAAUUUUUUUAAGUAAGAGUUUAACGUCGGCUAAAAUAUAUUUUUUGGACUGCGCCACAAGAAAUUCACCCGCAAUCCGAAACACAUUUUAUUCAACAUUGUAUAGACUUGAAUGUAGAACACAUGAAGUGCACACUCGAAUUUAUGAAGGUAAUUUUAAUAUUAUGCCCCUACAGCAACUAUGCGGUUUUUUUCUAAACUUUGUGAGGGACAUGGAAAAUUUUAUGAAUGGCGCGCCUCGAGUUCUAAGGAUUUAAAAGAAAUAAUUAAAUUAGGACCACGUAUUUGAUAUUUUAUUUGGCACGGCGCACCUUAAAUCCAAUUUUUAAAGGAAAUUCAAAAUCAAACUCUUAAGGCCAUAACUAUAUUUGCUAAGAUGGCACACCUUAACUAAUUCUCCAAAAUUCCUUAUUUUAAAACCAUGAGGGUCAUAGACUAUCUCUACUAAUAUGGCAUACCCUGAAACUAAUUUAAUUGUAGUACUUCUAGCCCCCUUUUUAACAUGUUAUCUAAGCAAGAAAACUUUGCGUAAAAGAAACUAAACAGAAAGAAACAGAUAUGUUAUUAACUGGCUCGUACAAUUGCAACCAUGCGGGAUAAGAUAGAAGAAGGCAGGCCCAAUGCAAUGGAGGCCUGCAAAUCGACUUCAUGUAGUAUCUUGACCCAAGGCCCAAAGAAGGGUCUAAAUUUAGCAGUAAAUCCUGAAGAAGAAAAAAGACUCGAGUUCGAGUCCCCAGGUCAUGUAAGGAGAAUACCAAAUUAGAAAUGUGAUCCUAGCAAGGCCUUUGAUAACUAACUAUCCUUUGACAAUUGCGCUUCAGUUAAUUCUACAUGGGCAAUUAUGUCAAAUUUCCAGUACAAUUUGAGCCUAUUUUCAUGCGUAAUGUCAAAUAAAAUCUUAUGGGUCUAUCUAAUAGAUACAAGUCCUAACAUUAAAUGAAAACUAACAUGUUUUUGCAACAUAAAUAAAUCAAUGCACAGCCUGCCUUUUAAGGUAACUUGGAUCAUUUUCCCUUUCUUCUAGCACGACUUAUAUUGGUUACUACUUAAAAAGAAUUCAGUCCCUCAUUACAUGAAUGUGGAAAAAUUGAUCUACAAGGGAAUAUGCUGUAACAAUCAGAUACACUGCUUAGCAAGAGGAUACAUACACAAUCACACCAUUUAGCAUGAUCUAACUACAUAUGCAACCAAAUAAGCUAUGUACCAAUUUUUUUCAGAAUACUUUCAAAUAUUCAAUCUCGAACUACAGGAUACUUUCUAGAAGACUGAUCUCCCAUCAGAUAAUAUGCACUACAUCUUUCAGGUGAUAUUGACAUAAUCCAACAGAAUAUAAUGCAUCAUGCAAAAUCAGCAAAUAAAAAAUAAAUAAAACUAAGCUACUGAACAGAGCAAAUUGAAGUUGUGUUUGAACUCCCAAUUUUAUUUCAUACUUCAAACAAUCUUCACAUGAUAUAGGAUUCAAGAGCAAGUACCUGAUUAUAGCAAAAUAAACCAGAGAAACCAAAGUUGGAGUCAGUAAACAGCAACAGAAAAAUCAGCCUCCAAGAAUGACUAACAACAGGGAAAUCCACUUCUUCCCGCCAAGGAAAAACCCAGAUGAACAACAUACAAUAGCAAUCUGACUAGCUAAGAAUUUUUUAAAACAAAAUUGGACCAGCCUUGUCCAAAAAUGCAAGAAAUGCAUUAUUCUCUCGGAAUUCCUUAGGCUCAGCCAUUUUCCUUCAAAAUUUUCAUAGUGUUUUUUUCUUCUCUCUCAAUGAAUGGAAAGAAAACUUAUAUAGGCAUGCCAAGGGCGGCCCUAAUACAUCUAGCCAAUUCCCCAUUUACCCUUCCCUUUACAAAAAUAUCUGACACUUUCAACUCUUAUCAUAUUCUUUAGAACCUUCUAUCCUAAAAGAAUUUGAUUCCCCCCCCCCCUAUUGCGCGCACGCGCGCGCGCACACACAAGCACACACACACACGGUGACCUUACACUAACUGGUUAUUACAAUCUUUGCCCCUCCCCCCUAAGACCCCUCUAAGUUUCUAUACUUAGCAUUAACCCUCAUAUGGAUCCCUGA
This 20304-nucleotide long non-coding RNA is filed under the name Nicotiana benthamiana. RNAcentral describes it as "long non-coding RNA (NBEN_LNC007109)". Lineage: Eukaryota; Viridiplantae; Streptophyta; Magnoliopsida; Solanales; Solanaceae. The record is from RNAcentral.